This is a long non-coding RNA of Globicephala melas (long-finned pilot whale), 1546 nucleotides long. RefSeq lists it as uncharacterized. NCBI's taxonomy places the organism in Eukaryota, Metazoa, Chordata, Mammalia, Artiodactyla, Delphinidae. The record is from RefSeq and is a predicted model, not a curated record.
UUUUGUUCUCAGCUCCCUGCCCCCGCCUGCCUCUCUUGUCGGAAGUGGUGCACUUGGAAGAGGGACAUCAAAGCUGCUGGGGAGGCUUUGCACCGAGAGGGAUUUUCUUUGUCUGACUGAGAAGCAAAGAAAGACAAUCUUGGCUUGCUCGUCUCUGCCCGCUGACUGCUGCCAUUUCCCUGGGCCUGGGGACCCUCCAGUGACCAAGAAGAGGUGAGAAUAACAGACUGCUUCCCAAGUACGUCUCCUGCCAGUACCAGCCAGUGCUGGACCCAGACAGAAGCCAGUGACCCAGGAGCCUCAAAUGCACCGACAGGAGUCUGCUCCUUUGGCAAUUCCCUGAGCAGAAAAAAAAAGAUGUGACAACAUGUUGUAACCUGGCCCCACAUGCCACAUCCAACCUUCUCUAGGACAACAUGUGAUUUCUUCUUCCAAGAGCCCCAGGCACGACGGAAGCUUGAACAGCAGGGGGUUGAUUUUGAAUUGAACAUAACGAACCACCAGUCAAGGGCUGCUCUCUCAUUGGUUUAAAGAGGCUCAUUCUGUCUCUGGAAUUGUGAGAAUAAUUCUCGAAGACGCCCUCUUGGGGUUUAAGGGUGGAUUUAGGCAGGCAGUGGCAAUGUAUUCAAGCUGGAAUUGGUCCAAAAUGGUGCAGAGAGCAGCUGCUGAGCGCAGUGAGACGCUAUCCCCUUCCCCAAGCUCUGGGUGCAGACAAUGCCUGAGCUCCUCUUGCCGGGGAGAGGAGCUUGGUACGAAACUUUGACACAUCCAUGAAAUAGAAUUCUUCCCUCGAAGACACACUUCUUUAGAAAGCCCUUAUUUCUUGGAAUUCCAAAUGGAAAUGGAGCCACUCAUUUCGGUGUCCGCAUGCGCCCUCUCUUCCCAGCCUUUAGACUUAGUGCCCCCACCAUCUCCUUCACCCCACAUUUUGGUCCUCCUCCCUUUGUUCUUUUCACCCCCUUCACUAAUGCUCCCGUGAUCCAUCACCCCAGCAGCCACGGCCCUCAGGCAGGUGCAGUAACAACCCAUUCGACACAGACUUUGGCUGGAAGAAUCUUGACCAAAUUUGCUGACCACACGGCAUCCAUCACUCAGGAAAUGUCCUUGUCCAAGUCUACUUCAGAGAGGCCCCAAAGAUUCUGUGAAGGCCAACAUUCUAUGACCCUUCUCUCUUAGUUCUAUUACCCUUCCAUUUAUAUGACCACCACAUAAAAGAGGAGGGGGUGCAGGAGGGGAGGAGAAGAGCUCUCUUGUCUGGAGCUCCUGAAUAUGCAUGUAUUGCAGCUGUCAGUCUCAGCUUUCUCUUGUCAGGUUUUAUACCCCCUACCCUCAGCUUUGUGCACCUACACGUUGACCCCAGUCUUACCACUGUCUCACACUGACCGGCCCCUCAGCUAACAGCUCCUCCCACUGGCACCCAGCCCGCUCCUGGUGGUCCCCGUCCCCGCUCCCAUAUUGGCUUAUCAUGGCCUUGUGAGCAGAGUAUGGGCAUCAACUCAUAACAUUGCUUAUCUGUCUCUAAAACUCACCAGCAUUGAACUUGGUC